GCCAGAGAGGCUAGAACGAAGCAAGCAGAGGAAGGUGGGAUAAGCUGGCUUGCUGAGUUUUCUAACUUUCAUCUUUUUCCCAUGCUGGAUGCUUCCUGCCGUUGGACAUCAGACUCCAGGUUCUUCGGGGACUCUUGGACUUACACCAGCGUUUUGCCGGGGGCUCUGUCGGCUGCACUGUCAGUUUCCCUACUUUUGAGACUUUUGGACUCGGACUGAGCCACUACUGGCUUCCUUCUUUCUCAGCUUGGAGACAGCCUAUCAUGGACUUCGCAUUGUGAUCGUAUGGUGCUGUAAUGGAAAUCCUUUAUUUGUGACUCUUGUGGCCUUGUGUGAGAGUUUUUUCCUAAGAUGGACUACAGAGAACCAGAGAGAGUUUUAAAUGUCUUAUUACCAGAACUUAAAGACCUUUAAGCAGAUGCAUGUAAAAAAAUGAUGGUACUUGACAGUCCAGCUGCCACAAUGCUUUCAAAAAACUGGAUUUCUACUGGAUUCUUCAAGAUUACAAAGUUACAGCCUUAACAAACAGGUUGUGGACAAGGAAGACAAAGAGUGCAUGAACUGCCUGGUGAUGAAAGCCAUGGUGCAGUGGCGGCGGCGACUGCAACAAGACCCAGGCAGGAAAGGCGCGUGUGGUGUUGGGACCAGCAGACGGGCAGCCUCUGAGGCCAUUUUCUAUUUUUGAAUAAAAUGAUACUACUAAUUUUAUCUGCAAAUAAGUUUUGUUCAAAUGACAAUGUAUGCUCAACAUUAAUAUUUUUCUAAUUUUUUAAAUUGAUGAUUGUU
RNAcentral lists this long non-coding RNA (786 nucleotides) under Homo sapiens (human). RNAcentral's name for it is "non-protein coding lnc-TEX9-6:9". Lineage: Eukaryota; Metazoa; Chordata; Mammalia; Primates; Hominidae. The record is from RNAcentral.